CCGCCCGUAGCUCAGUUGGAUAGAGCAACAGCCUUCUAAGCUGUGGGUCUGCCGUUCGAGUCGGCACGGGCGGGCCA
This 77-nucleotide transfer RNA is filed under the name Bacilli bacterium. RNAcentral describes it as "tRNA-Arg". It matches the Rfam family "tRNA". Rfam says of the family: Transfer RNA (tRNA) molecules are approximately 80 nucleotides in length. Their secondary structure includes four short double-helical elements and three loops (D, anti-codon, and T loops). RNAcentral also lists the same sequence under 2 other names. Lineage: Bacteria; Bacillati; Bacillota; Bacilli. The record is from RNAcentral.